This 550-nucleotide ribosomal RNA is filed under the name uncultured archaeon. Its description in RNAcentral is "bacterial SSU rRNA". It matches the Rfam family "Archaeal small subunit ribosomal RNA", at positions 876 to 1429 of the family's 1478-position model. The record is from RNAcentral.
GCACAGCAACGGGUGGAGCGUGCGGUUUAAUUGGAUUCAACGCCGGAAAUCUCACCGGAGGCGACGGUUAUAUGAAGGCCAGGCUGAUGACCUUGCCUGAUUUUCCGAGAGGUGGUGCAUGGCCGCCGUCAGUUCGUACCGUAAGGCGUUCUGUUAAGUCAGCCCCCGACCGAGACCCUCAUCUUUGGUUGCUACAGGUAAGUCCGCUUAUCAGGCACACUAAAGAAACCGCUGGCGAUAAGUCAGAGGAAGGCGAGGGCAACGGUAGGUCAGUAUGCCCUGAAUCCUCCGGGCUACACGCGCGCUACAAAGGCUAGGACAAUGGGCUUCAACACCGAAAGGUGACGGUAAUCCCGAAACCUAGUCGUAGUUCGGAUUGAGGAUUGAAACUCACCCUCAUGAAGCUGGAAUCCGUAGUAAUCGCAGAUCAACAUCCUGCGGUGAAUAUGCCCCUGCUCCUUGCACACACCGCCCGUCAAACCAUGCGAGUUGGGCCUGAGUGAGGAUAUAGUCUUUGCUAUGUUCGAACUUAGACUUAGUAAGCGGGGUU